RNAcentral lists this ribosomal RNA (1665 nucleotides) under Triticum aestivum (bread wheat). RNAcentral describes it as "partial small subunit ribosomal RNA". The record is from RNAcentral. Lineage: Eukaryota; Viridiplantae; Streptophyta; Magnoliopsida; Poales; Poaceae.
AUGCAUGCAAUCCUUUGGGCUUACAUGGCCUUGGUACUUGUAAGCCCAACAUUUAGCCGCUGUUGGGCCUGUAGGCUGUACCUGAGAACGUAUUCGAUUAUUCGGCCCGCUCGAAUUGUGCGAAAACACUCCCGGAAAUACCAAAGAUUACUCUCGCACCCUUUCCCUUCGUGCUCGACUGGCUUCCCCGUUCGUCUCCCCCAGAUUUCUCACGCCAACACCGCCGAGCUCUCCCCCGGAAGGCCGGAACACGCCUCCUGGUCUCCGUCCCCGGAGGCACGCCACCUCGAAAGAAUCCCCCCUCUCCCACUCGUCGUCGUCCUCCUCCGCCCUACUGGACAGAUCCAUCCGUGCUCGGAUCGCUUCCUUCUGUUGCGUGUGGCCAUGUCUUCUUCAAUGGAGUCAUCAUACCUUCCUGCUACUACUGAGUCAAUUGCAAUGGCUCAGGAGGCUAAGGAUGCUUCAAAGUCAAUUUCGAUCCUUUACCGUGUGAUUCAAGACCCGUCUUCUUCUGCGGAUGCACUGAGAACAAAAGAACUUGCAAUUACUAACCUUACAAAUUACCUCACUGAAGAGAGCAGAGCUGAGGAGUUGCGAAACCUUUUGACCCAGCUCAGGCCGUUUUUCUCACUGAUUCCCAAGGCCAAGACUGCAAAAAUUGUCCGUGGAAUCAUUGAUGCUGUUUCCAAGAUUCCUGGAACAUCUGAUCUCCAGAUCUCGCUGUGCAAAGAGAUGGUGGAAUGGACCCGUGCAGAGAAGCGUACAUUCCUUAGGCAGCGUGUGGAGGCAAGGUUAGCGGCACUUCUGCUAGAGAAUCAAGAGUACACUGAAGCCCUGACUCUCCUGACUGGUCUUAUUAAGGAAGUCAGGAGACUUGAUGACAAGUUGCUCCUUGUGGACAUAGACCUGUUGGAGAGCAAACUCCACUUCUCUCUCAGAAACCUGCCAAAGGCCAAAGCUUCGUUGACUGCUGCAAGGACAGCGGCGAAUGCCAUCUAUGUUCCACCAGCUCAGCAGGGCACUAUUGAUCUGCAGAGUGGAAUCCUUCACGCAGAAGAAAAGGAUUACAAAACUGCUUACAGCUACUUCUUUGAAGCAUUUGAAGCUUUCAAUGCACUGGAUGACCCAAGAGCUAUCUUCAGCUUGAAGUACAUGCUCUUGUGCAAGAUAAUGGUUAACCAAGCUGAUGAUGUUGCUGGAAUAAUCUCAUCUAAGGCUAGCCUAAAAUAUGUUGGUCCGGAUGUUGAUGCUAUGAAAGCUGUAGCUGAUGCCUACUCUAAAAGAUCUCUCAAGUACUUUGAAACUGCCCUCCGCGAUUUCAAAGCCCAGCUUGAGGAGGACCCUAUUGUUCACAGGCAUCUUUCCUCUCUGUAUGAUACCCUCCUGGAGCAGAAUCUCUGCAGGUUGAUUGAGCCCUACUCGAGAGUGGAGAUUGGGCAUGUUGCACAGAUGAUUGAAUUGGCGGUUGAUGAUGUUGAGAAGAAGCUGUCGCAGAUGAUUCUAGACAAGAAAUUUGCUGGUACUCUGGAUCAAGGUGCUGGUUGCCUCAUUAUCUUUGAGGAUCAGAAGACAGAGGCCAUCUUCCCUGCUACACUGGAAACCAUUUCAAAUGUCGGAAAGGUCGUGGACAGUCUUUACAUGAGGUCGGCCAAGAUCAUGGCUUGA